Molecule: unclassified non-coding RNA, 1896 nt
Filed under: Aphidius gifuensis
Lineage: Eukaryota; Metazoa; Arthropoda; Insecta; Hymenoptera; Braconidae
Description: uncharacterized LOC122857695, transcript variant X2
Source: RNAcentral
UAAAUAAAUAAUAAUAACCAGUAUGACAUUAUAAGUAGAUAACAGUAUCACAAAAAUUGAAAAAGUUUUUUUGGAAAAAGGAUUGUGAAUCAUUCAUAAGUUUAAUCACUAUCUUAUCAUUUUGUAAUAUUAAUUUUUUACACUCAAUUUAUUGGACUAAUGUUGAUGAAAAUGUUGAACGUCAAUUAUCUGCAGGUUACAAUAGUGAUAAUCUGUUAUUUUCAAGCUCAUUUUGUAAUUGGUACUUAUGUUAAAUUAACACAUGAUGGACCAACUGUCCAGGGUGGUAGUAUAACAUUUAAAGCUGAAGUAUUUCCAUCUGAUGAUUGGAUUGCAAUUGAAUCAUAUACUUAUAGAUGGAAUGAUAAUGGACAAGGCAAUCAUCAUUACAAAACACCAGAGACUAAAAACACAACGAGUAUUUGGAAAGUUGAUUAUCCAGCAGAUAUUUAUCCAGCUGGUGAAUACAGUGUUGAAGUUGAAGUUCAUUGUAAUAGAGAAUUUAUAUUUUCAUUCGAAACAAGUCAACAUAGUAAUUUCGAAAUAACAACAUUACUCAAUGGUAACAUGACGAUAGCUCAAUCAAAUCACAGUAUAGAAAAUAAUUAUGUAUCAUCAGACGCUGAGACUGAAAUUAAAAUUGAUUUACGAAGUGGUGAUUAUGAUUAUAUAACAAAAAAUGCAACAGAGUUAUCAACAUAUUGGUUUAUUGAUUGUCAAUAUUAUGGACAAACAAAUGAUUUUAAUUUUAAAUAUAAUUUUACAAAUCCAAAUACUGAAAGUAGUAUUGAAGCAUUAAUUGUUGCAUCUUAUGAACCAUUGACAACACCUGCACCACCAACAACAACAACAACUACUACUACAACAACAACUCCAGCUCCAACAACAACAUCAACAACAACAACUACAACUAUUAAACCAACAACCACAUCAUCAACAACAACUCCAGCAUCAAAAAAUACAACAACAACAAUAGCAUCAAUUAAAAGUGAUAAAAAAAUAAUUAAUAAAAGAGAUACAUCAAACAAAGUAUCAACAAAUAAACUUGCUAAUAAUAUAACACUACCAUAUGUUUGUAUAAACACAUCAAUUGUAACACCAGAUCCAAAAAAAACAUAUGGUUAUUUUCAUAAAAAAAUAACUAUAAAUGAGCCAAUUAAAAAUAUAUCAGUUAAUGGAUCAACAUGGAUACAACCAUGGAAUAUGUUGUAUUUAAAUGUAAGCUGUCAUGGUUCUGGACCAUUUGUUAAAUGUAUUAGAAAUCAUGUUGGUAAUUAUAACAUAACUGGAAAUGAAACAUGUAAUGAAGAUGAUGGAAUGUUAUUAACAACAUGUAAUUUUUCUAUAAAACGUUAUUUUUUUGAGCCAAAUGUUUAUACUGUACUUGUUAUGCUUCGUAAUAAUAUUAGUACACAAAUUUAUCCAAUAACAAUUAAUAUUUAUAAAGUUACUCCAAAACCACAGUUGAGUGUUAUUGUGGUGCCAAUAACAUGCUCAGUUGCAGCUGUUGUAUUGAUUGUAUUUGGUGUUGCUUAUUAUAUACAAAGUCGAUCAAGAUGUACAAUUGAAGUUGCUAAUUUUGAUUUUGGACAAAGUAAUCCUGAUAUGGAGUAUAAAACUUUUACUGAACGGCUUAAGGAUUCAUUUAAUAGCAGUGUAAGACAUGGAUACAAGAAUUUAAAUCGUUCGUCUUACUAUGGAAGCAUGAAUUAAUAUAUAUAAUUUAUUAAUAUGGGAAAUUUUAUUGGAAUUUAUUGUCAGGAAUUAUAUGCACAUGUAUUUGGAUAUAAAACACUUGGCUCCCAUGAAGCUCCAGAACGUCAAUAAUAGAAUAAAAAACAAAAAAAAAUCAAUUAGGAUUAAGGAUCAAUAAACGAAUCAAGCUUUUUUUUUUUU